Long non-coding RNA from Meriones unguiculatus (Mongolian gerbil), 1238 nucleotides. RefSeq lists it as uncharacterized. The record is from RefSeq and is a predicted model, not a curated record. The transcript has 2 exons. NCBI's taxonomy places the organism in Eukaryota, Metazoa, Chordata, Mammalia, Rodentia, Muridae.
GUGCUCAGACUAAAGGCAUGCACUAUGCAUGGUGAAACUUAAUUCAUUUUCUUUUCCUUUCAGGUGCCAGGGAUGAAACACAGGGCCUUAAGCAUACCAGGCAUUACUCUACCACCGAGCUAAAGAUCCAGUGCUCUACAACCCUACUGUUCUGGAACUCACUAUGUAGUUACAAAUUCAUGUAAAUCUUCCAGUCUCAGCCUUCUGGGUCCUGGUAUUACAGGUACUCUCUGGAAGGCGGCAGAUACUUCUUGUCAACUUCCUUCCUCAUUCGGCCACUAUAGUCCUACCUAAUCAUCUAACAGCCCUGAUGAACAGCUACAGACCUGCUAAUACCCCAGAAGUAAUUUAAGAACAGAAUGAAAUGUUGCUGAAUGUGACGUGUGGAAGAUGAUCCAACAAGCAGAGCCUCUCUCUCACCUGUGUCCACAUGGCUUCAGCUGUGUGUCUGCUACCUCAUCACAACAGAGUGAACAGCAGUUCUCUCGAAUACUGACUUGCUUCAGCAGAGCAAGGCGCCUGUGCCUGAGCAGACAAAACAAUGUGAAAUUCAUUUCGUCAACAAGGAGUCAGCAGAGGGGCACAUAAAAUGCUCUCAAAAAGCCCUACACGGCUAAAAUACACUUUGUUGCAAUCUUUGUUUAGUAAGGUUUUCAUAUAUUUCAGCCUCAGCAGAGUGAAGAAGGCUUGGCUGUCAUUUCAUAAACAACAAAAGGUUCAAAUUCAAAUCCUUUGGUUUUCAGUCCAGUGUUGUUCUACCAGCAAAUUUCAACCAUUUAAGUCACAUAUAUUGAGAAUUUGGUGAAAUGUACAAGCCUUUCUCAGGGAAAAUACACACAGUUUUUACACAAGGUCAAGGGGUUUAUGACAUAUAGACUCUCUACAAGUUUAGACACCUUAGGUUUGAACCCUUCCAUUCCAAAUGGACAGAGAAGCAGACAUGCAUAACUGUUCUGAAGUUCACUUAUAGGCUUGUUAUGUGUCUGGCACUGCCCCAAGCCCUGGUAAUUCAGCAGUGAACAGGAGACCAAAUAGGUGUCCUUAGCUAGGCAUGGUGGCAUACAGGUAGAAUCAGCAUUUAGAAGCUAGGAGGCUAGGAUAGGGAGAUCUCCACGAGUCUUGGGCCAGCCUGGGCUCUAGAGGUAACAGAGUGGGUAAAAAAUAAAAGGCAAUCUACAAACAGAAAAAAACCAAAAAACCAAAAAAAAAAAAAAAAAACAAAACAAAAAACAGAAAAA